Molecule: long non-coding RNA, 3017 nt
Organism: Oncorhynchus gorbuscha (pink salmon)
Lineage: Eukaryota; Metazoa; Chordata; Actinopteri; Salmoniformes; Salmonidae
Exons: 5
Source: RefSeq, a predicted model, not a curated record
UGUGUGUGUGUGUGUGUGUGUGUGUGUGUGUGUGUGUGUGUGUGUGUGUGUGUGUGUGUGUGUGUGUGUGUGUGUGUGUGUGUGUGUGUGUGUGUGUUUCUCAGGGGUGAGGACCUCUUUAUGGAGCAUAACUAAUGUAUUUCAGAGGGCUGGCUGCAGUGCAGAUAGAGACCAUGACAGAUAUCAUAGUAAACCGCCUGCUGGAACUAACAGCCUACAGGCCUACAGCACCAUUAGUCCUGAGAAUGGACCAUUUCAGACGCACAGAAGGCUUCACUGUGUUUCUCAAGGUGUUAGAGGUGACUGGAGGGGACAGAAGGCUUCACUGUGUUUCUCAAGGUGUUAGAGGUACCUGGAGGGGACAGAAGGCUUCACUGUGUUUCUCAAGGUGUUAGAGGUGACUGGAGGGGACAGAAGGCUUCACUGUGUUUCUCAAGGUGUUAGAGGUACCUGGAGGGGACAGAAGGCUUCACUGUGUUUCUCAAGGUGUUAGAGGUGACUGGAGGGGACAGAAGGCUUCACUGUGUUUCUCAAGGUGUUAGAGGUGACAGAAGGCUUCACUGUGUUUCUCAAGGUGUUAGAGGUGACUGGAGGGGACAGAAGGCUUCACUGUGUUUCUCAAGGUGUUAGAGGUGACUGGAGGGGGCAGAAGGCUUCACUGUGUUUCUCAAUGUGUUCGAGGUGACUGGAGGGGACAGAAGGCUUCACUGUGUUUCUCAAGGUGUUAGAGGUGACUGGAGGGGACAGAAGGCUUCACUGUGUUUCUCAAGGUGUUAGAGGUGACUGGAGGGGGCAGAAGGCUUCACUGUGUUUCUCAAGGUGUUAGAGGUGACUGGAGGGGACAGAAGGCUUCACUGUGUUUCUCAAGGUGUUAGAGGUGACUGGAGGGGACAGAAGGCUUCACUGUGUUUCUCAAGGUGUUAGAGGUGACUGGAGGGGACAGAAGGCUUCACUGUGUUUCUCAAGGUGUUAGAGGUGACUGGAGGGGACAGAAGGCUUCACUGUGUUUCUCAAGGUGUUAGAGGUGACUGGAGGGGACAGAAGGCUUCACUGUGUUUCUCAAGGUGUUAGAGGUGACUGGAGGGGACAGAAGGCUUCACUGUGUUUCUCAAGGUGUUAGAGGUGACUGGAGGGGACAGAAGGCUUCACUGUGUUUCUCAAGGUGUUAGAGGUGACAGAAGGCUUCACUGUGUUUCUCAAGGUGUUAGAGGUGACAGAAGGCUUCACUGUGUUUUUCAAGGUGUUAGAGGUGACUGGAGGGGACAGAAGGCUUCACUGUGUUUCUCAAGGUGUUAGAGGUGACUGGAGGGGACAGAAGGCUUCACUGUGUUUCUCAAGGUGUUAGAGGUGACUGGAGGGGACAGAAGGCUUCACUGUGUUUCUCAAGGUGUUAGAGGUGACUGGAGGGGACAGAAGGCUUCACUGUGUUUCUCAAGGUGUUAGAGGUGACUGGAGGGGACAGAAGGCUUCACUGUGUUUCUCAAGGUGUUAGAGGUGACUGGAGGGGACAGAAGGCUUCACUGACAAGGUGUUAGAGGUGACAGAAGGCUUCACUGUGUUUCUCAAGGUGUUAGAGGUGACUGGAGGGGACAGAAGGCUUCACUGUCAAGGUGUUAGAGGUGACUGGAGGGGACAGAAGGCUUCACUGACAAGGUGUUAGAGGUGACAGAAGGCUUCACUGUGUUUCUCAAGGUGUUAGAGGUGACUGGAGAGGACAGAAGGCUUCACUGACAAGGUGUUAGAGGUGACAGAAGGCUUCACUGUGUUUCUCAGGGUGUUAGAGGUGACUGGAGGGGACAGAAGGCUUCACUGUGUUUCUCAAGGUGUUAGAGGUGACUGGAGGGGACAGAAUGCUUCACUGUCAAGGUGUUAAAGGUGACAGAAUGCUUCACUGUGUUUCUCAAGGUGUUAGAGGUGACUGGAGGGGACAGAAGGCUUCACUGACAAGGUGUUAGAGGUGACAGAAGGCUUCACUGAGUUUCUCAAGGUUUUAUAGGUACCUGGAGGGGACAGAAGGCUUCACUAUGUUUCUCAAGGUGUUAGAGGUGACUGGAGGGGACAGAAGGCUUCACUGACAAGGUGUUAGAGGUGACAGAAUGCUUCACUAUGUUUCUCAAGGUGUUAGAGGUGACUGGAGGGGACAGAAGGCUUCACUGACAAGGUGUUAGAGAAGACAGAAGGCUUCACUGACAAGGUGUUAGAGGUGACAGAAGGCUUCACUGUGUUUCUCAAGGUGUUAGAGGUGACUGGAGGGGACAGAAGGCUUCACUGACAAGGUGUUAGAGGUGACAGAAUGCUUCACUGUGUUUCUCAAGGUGUUAGAGGUGACUGGAGGGGACAGAAGGCUUCACUGACAAGGUGUUAGAGGUGACAGAAGGCUUCACUGAGUUUCUCAAGGUGUUAGAGGUGACUGGAGGGGACAGAAGGCUUCACUGUGUUUCUCAAGGUGUUAGAGGUGACUGGAGGGGACAGAAGGCUUCACUGUGUUUCUCAAGGUGUUAGAGGUGACUGGAGGGGACAGAAGGCUUCACUGACAAGGUGUUAGAGGUGACAGAAGGCUUCACUGUGUUUCUCAAGGUGUUGGAGGUGACUGGAGGGGACAGCAGGUGUGGUCAGGUGUUAGAAAGAGAAGUUUAUCAGCUGAUUUACUUAACAAAAGGCACAUCUCAAUAGGUGGUCCAGGUAUCCUUAUGAUAUGGCACAAGUGGGGGUUGGCCUUUCCUCUUCUGUUCUCUAAUGCUCCUCUAUUGUUCCUCAAGCAAGGGAGGAGGCCGAUGACAUCACAACCUCCCAUCAGACCAACUCCUUGACGUUUGCAGUUGUGUGUUGUACCCUUUACUGUAUUCAUAUCACUUUCAACAGUAACAGUUCCAAAAUUGCUGGAGGACCAUCUUUAAGAAGAAAAGAAAGUCAUUUCAGUGUGGAAUUCAAACUUUGCAAAACAUUGUAUGUCUUCACAUGUAGACAGACUGUAAAUGGCCUGAGCAGGGGUGAGUUGGAUGAACAGGUAUUUUGUG